CGCCAGACUCCUACGGGAGGCAGCAGUGGGGAAUAUUGGACAAUGGGGGGAACCCUGAUCCAGCGACGCCGCGUGAGUGAAGAAGUAUUUCGGUAUGUAAAGCUCUCUCAGCAGGGAAGAAAAUGACGGUACCUGACUAAGAAGCCCCGGCUAACUACGUGCCAGCAGCCGCGGUAAUACGUAGGGGGCAAGCGUUAUCCGGAUUUACUGGGUGUAAAGGGAGCGUAGACGGCGAUGCAAGCCAGAUGUGAAAGCCCGGGGCUCAACCCCGGGACUGCAUUUGGAACUGUAUAGCUAGAGUGUCGGAGAGGCAGGCGGAAUUCCUAGUGUAGCGGUGAAAUGCGUAGAUAUUAGGAGGAACACCAGUGGCGAAGGCGGCUUACUGGACUGUAACUGACGUUGAGGCUCGAAAGCGUGGGGAGCAAACAGGAUUAGAUACCCCGGUAAG
RNAcentral lists this ribosomal RNA (448 nucleotides) under uncultured bacterium. RNAcentral's name for it is "bacterial SSU rRNA". It matches the Rfam family "Bacterial small subunit ribosomal RNA", at positions 329 to 793 of the family's 1533-position model. The record is from RNAcentral.